AUGUUUUUUAUGACCUCACUAACUGAUGAUUGUUAUGGUAUGUUUUUAGGGAUAGAUACCAACGCUUCAUCUUCAUCCUCUUUUCCCCACAUGCACAUGCAUGCAUGCAUUAGGAUAAAAGUUGAUGUCAUCUUAGAUUCUUCACAUCUCAAAAACUUGAAAUUUUUUGUAGCUCAAACCAUCGGUUCGAUUCAAAUUCCUUUCACCAUUAAAUUCAUGAUGAGACCUUUGAAACUAGAUUCUAUGUUGGUAUAUUUUGAUGACUUCUUUUUCGGGUCAAAAGUUAUCAGGCUAUGCCAGUUAUCAUGCAUGUCAUACAUAAGGCACCAUGUUGGUUAA
This 339-nucleotide ribosomal RNA is filed under the name Triticum aestivum (bread wheat). RNAcentral describes it as "partial small subunit ribosomal RNA". The record is from RNAcentral. Lineage: Eukaryota; Viridiplantae; Streptophyta; Magnoliopsida; Poales; Poaceae.